GAUGAACGCUGGCGGCGUGCUUAACACAUGCAAGUCGAACGGAAAGUCCCUGCUUUUGUGGCGUGCUCGAGUGGCACACGGGUGAGUAACACGUGAGUAACCUGCCAUCGGCUGUGGGAUAACUUCAGGAAACUGGGGCUAAUACCGGAUAGGAGCUCCUGCUGCAUGGUGGGGGUUGGAAAGUUUCGGCGGUGGGGGAUGGACUCGCGGCUUAUCAGCCUGUUGGUGGGGUAGUGGCUUACCAAGGCUUUGACGAGUAGCCGGCCUGAGAGGGUGACCGGCCACAUUGGGACUGAGAUACGGCCCAGACUCCUACGGGAGGCAGCAGUGGGGAAUAAUGCACAAUGGUCGGAAGCCUGAUGCAGCAACGCUGCGUGCGGGAUGACGGCCUUCGGGUUGUAAUCCGCUUUCGCCUGUGACGAAGCGUGAGUGACGGUAAUGGGUAAAGAAGCACCGGCUAACUACGUG
This 468-nucleotide ribosomal RNA is filed under the name uncultured bacterium. RNAcentral describes it as "partial 16S ribosomal RNA". It matches the Rfam family "Bacterial small subunit ribosomal RNA", at positions 28 to 507 of the family's 1533-position model. The record is from RNAcentral.